RNAcentral lists this unclassified non-coding RNA (172 nucleotides) under uncultured fungus. Its description in RNAcentral is "sequence contains ITS1". The record is from RNAcentral. Lineage: Eukaryota; Fungi.
UUGAUUCAUUUGUAUUUUGCCUUUCGGCCACUCAGAAAUGCUUAUAAAAACAAAGAGUUUAAGUGUCCUCGGCGGCACCGAAGCGCGCGCCGAAGCAACAAGUGGUAAGUUCACAUAGGGUUUGGGAGUUAUAAACUCGAUAAUGAUCCCUCCGCUGGUUCACCAACGGAGA